UACGUAGGGCGCAAGCGUUGUCCGGAAUUAUUGGGCGUAAAGAGCUCGUAGGCGGUCUGUCGCGUCUGGUGUGAAAUCCCGAGGCUCAACCUCGGGCUUGCAUCGGGUACGGGCAGACUAGAGUGCGGUAGGGGAGACUGGAAUUCCUGGUGUAGCGGUGAAAUGCGCAGAUAUCAGGAGGAACACCGGUGGCGAAGGCGGGUCUCUGGGCCGAUACUGACGCUGAGGAGCGAAAGCGUGGGGAGCGAACAGG
Molecule: ribosomal RNA, 253 nt
Filed under: uncultured bacterium
Lineage: Bacteria
Description: partial 16S ribosomal RNA
Rfam family: Bacterial small subunit ribosomal RNA
Source: RNAcentral